Molecule: ribosomal RNA, 497 nt
Filed under: uncultured bacterium
Lineage: Bacteria
Description: partial 16S ribosomal RNA
Rfam family: Bacterial small subunit ribosomal RNA
Source: RNAcentral
GAUGAACGCUGGCGGCGUGCCUAAUACAUGCAAGUCGAGCGAACAGGCGAUGAUCUUGCGCCUCUCACGUUAGGGGCGCACGGGUGAGUAACACGUGUAAAACCUACUUAUAAUACGGGGAUAACUUCGGGAAACCGGAGCUAAUACCGUAUGAUCUAUUGAACCGCAGGGUUCAAUAGUGAAAUACGGUGUUGCUGUCACUUAUAGAUGGAUCCGCGCCGCAUUAGCUAGUUGGGAAGGUAACGGCUUACCAAGGCAACCAUGCGUAGCCGGCGGGAUAGAGUGAUAGGCCACACUGGAACGGGGCCACGGUCCAGGCUCCUGCGGGAGGCAGCAGUCUGCAACCUUCCGCAAUGGGGGAAAGCCUGGCGGAACAAGGCCGCGUGAGUGAUGGAGGCCUUCGGUUCGUAAAGCUCUGUUAUUAGGGGAGAACAACUGUGUAAGUAAAUAUGGCCGUCUUGACGGUACCUAAUCAGAAAGCACCGGCUAACUACGUG